GAGUUUGAUCCUGGCUCAGAUUGAACGCUGGCGGAAUGCUUUACACAUGCAAGUCGAGCGGCAGCGCGGGGCAACCUGGCGGCGAGCGGCGAACGGGUGAGUAAUGCAUCGGAACAUGUCCAUGGAUGGGGGAUAGCCCGGCGAAAGCCGGAUUAAUACCGCAUGAGCCCGAGAGGGGAAAGUGGGGGACCGCAAGGCCUCACGUCGAUGGGUUGGCCGAUGCCCGAUUAGCUAGUUGGUGAGGUAAUGGCUCACCAAGGCGAUGAUCGGUAGCUGGUCUGAGAGGAUGAUCAGCCACACUGGGACUGAGACACGGCCCAGACUCCUACGGGAGGCAGCAGUGGGGAAUUUUGGACAAUGGGGGCAACCCUGAUCCAGCCAUUCCGCGUGAGUGAAGAAGGCC
RNAcentral lists this ribosomal RNA (403 nucleotides) under uncultured beta proteobacterium. RNAcentral describes it as "bacterial SSU rRNA". It matches the Rfam family "Bacterial small subunit ribosomal RNA", at positions 9 to 416 of the family's 1533-position model. The record is from RNAcentral. Lineage: Bacteria; Pseudomonadati; Pseudomonadota; Betaproteobacteria.